AAUAUUGGACAAUGGGGGUAACCCUGAUCCAGCCAUGCCGCUUGUUUGAAUAAUGCCUUUUGGUUGUAAAGCACUUUAUGCGAGGAGGUGGAGCUCUUGGUUACUACCCAAGAUGCUUGGACGUUACUCGCAGAUUAAGCUCCGGCUAACUCUUUGCCAGCAGCCGCGGUAAUACAGAUGGUGCAAGCGUUAAUAGGAUUUAUUGGGCGUAAAGCGCGCGUAGGUGGCCAAUUAAGUCAAAUGUGAAAUCCCCGAGCUUAACUUGGGAAUUGCAUUCAAUACUGGUUGGCUAGAGUAUGGGAGAGGAUGGUAGAAUUCCAGGUGUAGCGGUGAAAUGCGUAGAGAUCUGGAGGAAUACCGAUGGCGAAGGCAGCCAUCUGGCCUAAUACUGACACUGAGGUGCGAAAGCAUGGGGAGCAAACA
This 423-nucleotide ribosomal RNA is filed under the name uncultured bacterium. RNAcentral describes it as "partial 16S ribosomal RNA". It matches the Rfam family "Bacterial small subunit ribosomal RNA", at positions 360 to 774 of the family's 1533-position model. The record is from RNAcentral.